This 30-nucleotide non-coding RNA is filed under the name Callithrix jacchus (white-tufted-ear marmoset). The record is from RNAcentral. Lineage: Eukaryota; Metazoa; Chordata; Mammalia; Primates; Cebidae. RNAcentral also lists the same sequence under 1 other name.
ACCCUACUCUUUGUGGUCAGGCCACACUCU